Molecule: long non-coding RNA, 537 nt
Filed under: Mustela putorius furo (domestic ferret)
Lineage: Eukaryota; Metazoa; Chordata; Mammalia; Carnivora; Mustelidae
Description: lncRNA (ENSMPUG00000028069.1)
Source: RNAcentral
CUAUAGUUUGGAGGAUCAAGAUGGAGAGUGGAGAUACUUCUCUGCAUGGAGCGCCCAGAGAUGUGAUUAAUAAAAUGAUGCCUAAAGACACAUGAUAAAUGUAGAAGUUUCUCUGAUACAGGUCAAGGAUAUUGCUUACUCCAGUCAUGGCUCCAUAGAGUCCAGAACCCAGCUGCACUCCUUCACAGAAGGACAAGACUCCCUAAACUUCAGAAUGCUACAAAUGUGGACAGCUGCCAAAAUACCAUCUGAAGAGUACAGCCAAAACACCAAAGCUCGUGGCCUGUCCCUCAACCACAGUUCUAAAGAUGACAGGGAGUUCCAAGCUACAGGGUGGUGGCGCUGGCCCGUGACCCCAGGAAAUAAGCCUCUCGCUCUUCUGAAUUACCCCUGCUGCCUGUAGACUGCAAAGAGGAAGUCAGGGGAUGACAAAAGGUCUCUCACUAAAAGGUUUGAUUAAUCAGCUAAAUAUGUUUGCUCCACGAGUCUUCUUUUCCAAAUCAGGUUUUCAAAAAAAAAAAAANNNNNNNNNNNNNN